Molecule: long non-coding RNA, 814 nt
Filed under: Homo sapiens (human)
Lineage: Eukaryota; Metazoa; Chordata; Mammalia; Primates; Hominidae
Description: non-protein coding ATP6V0E2-AS1:17
Source: RNAcentral
GCCCGGUUUCGGCGAUGGGUUAUAGGGUCCGCGUCAGCCCCGCGCCCGCACAGCCAACGUCACGCCGCAUUCUUAUUUCCAAAGACCCCUGGAGCUUGGGGUCCCACCCCAGCGGUCUUUCGGGGCGUCCCCUGCCCUUCACGCGCCGCGCCGGCUCGGCCCGAAGCGCCCUGCGGACCCGCAGCCUGGGCCGCCCCGAACCUGACGGCCCCGCGGGGGUCGGACGCGGGAGGAACGGCCUCGCUUUCAGAGACGCAGCGGGAGGGCGGUCCCCGCUGUCCCUCUGGCCGGGUCCUCAGCACGCGUUCUCCUCACUCCCAGGACUAGCGAGCGGCGGGCGCGGACCGGGGCCUGGGGUCGGAGGCGGCGCAGCCAGAAAGGCCCCAGCGGCGCUGAGACGUUUGGGGGAAGGCGGGGGCUUCGCGUUUCGAUGGCGGGAAGCGGAAUGAGGUUGGACCGGCCGGGCCGGCGUUCAGGGACCCGGCGGGAGGCGGAGGGCUGGCGUCCUCGCGGACAUCCAUCUGCAGCGAACCAGGCAGAGGCUUUGGGAUUAGAUCCUUGACUCCUUGCGUCAGUAGUUAAGGUUUGUUUAAAUAUAAAAUGGGAUGGCCCUUCUUACAAGGUUGCUGGAGGAUUAAAUGAAUAGGCAUGUGGAAAGCACCUAGUAUAAUAAGGCUCGGUAGUUUCUUCCAUCAGGGCUGGAAGAGACCACGGAGCCUGCUUUCCUCCUUCGGCGUUUGGAUCUCACAUAUCCCUUCUUCUCUGGCGAUCAAAAAUCCCUAUCUUCUGUAGAGAUCCCUUUUACAGAUCAGUG